Molecule: long non-coding RNA, 248 nt
Filed under: Elaeis guineensis (African oil palm)
Lineage: Eukaryota; Viridiplantae; Streptophyta; Magnoliopsida; Arecales; Arecaceae
Description: long non-coding RNA (EGUI_LNC051496)
Source: RNAcentral
UGCCUAGAGUAGGCUAUUCUCUCAUCCUCCAUGCCUAAAGGUGUUGGGCUGAUCCUUAUGUGCACUUGAAGGUGUUUAGGUGCUGUUUGAUCGAAGGAAGAAGAUGGCUAUGGUGAGUAUCGAUCCAUCAGUCUCAGAAGUUAGAUUGUUGCUAAUCGAGAGCCCCAGAUCCUCCUUGGAGAAGAUGGAUCAGAUCUAGAGAAAGCAUCCUAGAUGAAAGUUCGAGUGGAAAUAUGCAGAGAUUGGGU